CUAAUACAUGCAAGUAGAACGCUGAAGGAGGAGCUUGCUUCUCUGGAUGAGUUGCGAACGGGUGAGUAACGCGUAGGUAACCUGCCUGGUAGCGGGGGAUAACUAUUGGAAACGAUAGCUAAUACCGCAUAACAGUAGAUGUUGCAUGACAUUUGCUUAAAAGGUGCAAUUGCAUCACUACCAGAUGGACCUGCGUUGUAUUAGCUAGUUGGUGGGGUAACGGCUCACCAAGGCGACGAUACAUAGCCGACCUGAGAGGGUGAUCGGCCACACUGGGACUGAGACACGGCCCAGACUCCUACGGGAGGCAGCAGUAGGGAAUCUUCGGCAAUGGACGGAAGUCUGACCGAGCAACGCCGCGUGAGUGAAGAAGGUUUUCGGAUCGUAAAGCUCUGUUGUAAGAGAAGAACGAGUGUGAGAGUGGAAAGUUCACACUGUGACGGUAUCUUACCAGAAAGGGACGGCUAACUACGUGCCAGCAGCCGCGGUAAUACGUAGGUCCCGAGCGUUGUCCGGAUUUAUUGGGCGUAAAGCGAGCGCAGGCGGUUAGAUAAGUCUGAAGUUAAAGGCUGUGGCUUAACCAUAGUACGCUUUGGAAACUGUUUAACUUGAGUGCAAGAGGGGAGAGUGGAAUUCCAUGUGUAGCGGUGAAAUGCGUAG
This 660-nucleotide ribosomal RNA is filed under the name uncultured Bacilli bacterium. RNAcentral's name for it is "bacterial SSU rRNA". It matches the Rfam family "Bacterial small subunit ribosomal RNA", at positions 48 to 693 of the family's 1533-position model. The record is from RNAcentral. Lineage: Bacteria; Bacillati; Bacillota; Bacilli.